UUGAUUAAGUAUUCAUCUUAGUUAACUUAAAAUAAAUUAAUUAAUUAUCUUGCUUAAUUCACGUAUUAACUUAUUUGGUUCAAGUACUUUCUAAAUAAAAAAAUUAUUCAUAAAAAUUUACAUAUAUAAUAAUGUAAAAUUCUCGGUCCCUACACCCUUAGGGUAUAUCAAAGGGUAUGCUUAGGUGUAAUAAGUUAUAU
Molecule: long non-coding RNA, 200 nt
Filed under: Panax ginseng (ginseng)
Lineage: Eukaryota; Viridiplantae; Streptophyta; Magnoliopsida; Apiales; Araliaceae
Description: long non-coding RNA (PGIN_LNC005893)
Source: RNAcentral